RNAcentral lists this ribosomal RNA (490 nucleotides) under Anaplectus sp. PDL-2005. Its description in RNAcentral is "SSU rRNA". It matches the Rfam family "Eukaryotic small subunit ribosomal RNA", at positions 103 to 590 of the family's 1831-position model. The record is from RNAcentral. Lineage: Eukaryota; Metazoa; Nematoda; Chromadorea; Plectida; Plectidae.
ACAACAGCCACUGUUUACUUGAUCUUGAUUAUCCUACUUGGAUAACUGUGGUAAUCCUAGAGCUAAUACAUGCAACCAAGCUCCGACCGUAAGGGACGAGCGCAUUUAUUAGAACAAAACCAAUCGGGCUUCGGCCUGAGGUUUGGUGAAUCUGAAUAACUGAGCUGAUCGCAUGGUCUUUGUACCGGCGACGCAUCUUUCAAGUGUCUGCCUUAUCAACUUUCGACGGUAGUUUAUGUGCCUACCAUGGUUGUAACGGGUAACGGAGAAUAAGGGUUCGACUCCGGAGAGGGAGCCUGAGAAACGGCUACCACAUCCAAGGAAGGCAGCAGGCGCGCAAAUUACCCACUCUCGGCACGAGGAGGUAGUGACGAAAAAUAACGAGGCGGUUCUCUAAGAGGCCCGCUAUCGGAAUGGGUACAAUUUAAACCCUUUAACGAGGACCUAUGAGAGGGCAAGUCUGGUGCCAGCAGCCGCGGUAAUUCCAGCU